AAUUUAAAGUGAAAUUAAACUUUAAAAAUAAAUUUAAAUAUUAAAGUUAUGAUCAAAUAUAACCUCUUAGCUAAGCUCUACACUUUUGGUGACAUCCGAAUUUUUUGUGCCGAAGUCAAAAAAGUAAGAUUUAGUUAUAACUCACUUUAUCGGCCAACUUUCGUAAAGUGACUUUUAUAUUCACUUUCAUAAACUAAACAACCGAUAAGACAUCAUUUUCUAAAUGUAUCACUUUCGAUAGUACACUUUCGGCGAACCAAACAUGCCCUAAGGGAUAGUGGGGCCACAUCUCCAGAUUAAAGGGAUGAUGAUCUAUCCAUAGAAAAAAAAAAUGAUGAAAUAAAAAAUUCAAUUAAUUUGAAAAAAUAAAAAAAAAAUUGUUGGGACCCACACUCCAAAUUAAGGAGGUUGGGCGACGUCAGCUUUAAGGACAUUAGGAUUCAUAAUUUUAUAUAGAUAUAGAUAUAGAUAGAUAGAUAGAUUUUUAUAUAU
Molecule: long non-coding RNA, 492 nt
Filed under: Ananas comosus (pineapple)
Lineage: Eukaryota; Viridiplantae; Streptophyta; Magnoliopsida; Poales; Bromeliaceae
Description: long non-coding RNA (ACOM_LNC030484)
Source: RNAcentral